Molecule: ribosomal RNA, 253 nt
Filed under: uncultured bacterium
Lineage: Bacteria
Description: partial 16S ribosomal RNA
Rfam family: Bacterial small subunit ribosomal RNA
Source: RNAcentral
UACGGAGGGGGUUAGCGUUGUUCGGAAUUACUGGGCGUAAAGCGUACGUAGGCGGAUUAGAAAGUUAGGGGUGAAAUCCCAGGGCUCAACCCUGGAACUGCCUCUAAAACUACUAGUCUAGAGUUCGAGAGAGGUGAGUGGAACUCCGAGUGUAGAGGUGAAAUUCGUAGAUAUUCGGAAGAACACCAGUGGCGAAGGCGGCUCACUGGCUCGAUACUGACGCUGAGGUACGAAAGUGUGGGGAGCAAACAGG